GAUGAACGCUGGCGGCGUGCCUAAUACAUGCAAGUCGAGCGAACAGAUGAGGAGCUUGCUCCUCUGACGUUAGCGGCGGACGGGUGAGUAACACAUGGAUAACCUACCUAUAAGACUGGGAUAACUUCGGGAAACCGGAGCUAAUACCGGAUAAUAUAUUGAACCGCAUGGUUCAAUAGUGAAAGACGGUUUUGCUGUCACUUAUAGAUGGAUCCGCGCCGCAUUAGCUAGUUGGUAAGGUAACGGCUUACCAAGGCAACGAUGCGUAGCCGACCUGAGAGGGUGAUCGGCCACACUGGAACUGAGACACGGUCCAGACUCCUACGGGAGGCAGCAGUAGGGAAUCUUCCGCAAUGGGCGAAAGCCUGACGGAGCAACGCCGCAUGAGUGAUGAAGGUCUUCGGAUCGUAAAACUCUGUUAUUAGGGAAGAACAAAUGUGUAAGUAACUAUGCACGUCUUGACGGUACCUAAUCAGAAAGCCACGGCUAACUACGUG
This 497-nucleotide ribosomal RNA is filed under the name uncultured bacterium. Its description in RNAcentral is "partial 16S ribosomal RNA". It matches the Rfam family "Bacterial small subunit ribosomal RNA", at positions 28 to 507 of the family's 1533-position model. The record is from RNAcentral.